This 385-nucleotide ribosomal RNA is filed under the name uncultured bacterium. Its description in RNAcentral is "bacterial SSU rRNA". It matches the Rfam family "Bacterial small subunit ribosomal RNA", at positions 29 to 414 of the family's 1533-position model. The record is from RNAcentral.
AUUGAACGCUGGCGGCAUGCCUUACACAUGCAAGUCGAACGGCAGCACGGGAGCAAUCCUGGUGGCGAGUGGCGAACGGGUGAGUAAUAUAUCGGAACGUGCCCAGUCGUGGGGGAUAACGUAGCGAAAGCUACGCUAAUACCGCAUACGAUCUAUGGAUGAAAGCGGGGGAUCGCAAGACCUCGCGCGAUUGGAGCGGCCGAUAUCAGAUUAGGUAGUUGGUGAGGUAAAGGCUCACCAAGCCGACGAUCUGUAGCUGGUCUGAGAGGACGACCAGCCACACUGGGACUGAGACACGGCCCAGACUCCUACGGGAGGCAGCAGUGGGGGAAUUUUGGACAAUGGGCGCAAGCCUGAUCCAGCAAUGCCGCGUGCAGGAUGAAGG